ACAGGAAGCGCCAAAGGGCAGCUGAAGCAUUAAAGCAGCCCCGUCCAGAUCCUGGAGGGGCUGGGGUCAGGGCAAUGCAGGCUGUGUGAUCAUCACAAGAGGGUGAGACGUGUCAUGAGAUGCCACACCCACAGAAAAUGGUGCCCCAAAGGAAGUUGUUUCUUCUCACCAGAACAGCAUCCCAGACCUAUUGCAACAUUUACUAUUUUUGUGAGGAGUGCCAGGCAUCCUUUGAAAUCCUUCCGGCCCUGGGAUGAAGACAAACCUGAGAUACCAACACAGCUGUGGAUCAUCUGUGGGAAAAAGUCGACGACAUCCAAGCCCGUGGCAUUCAGUUGCCUCACGUUCAUUUUGGUUGUGAUGCAUUUAUGUGUAGACGCUGCUUGGCUGUUUUACAUUGUUUAAUUGUUUGUAUUUUAACUUUCUUCCUGAUUUUCCUUGCAGUCAAGAGUCUUCACAAUCUUUGAGGAGUGUU
Molecule: long non-coding RNA, 475 nt
Organism: Lagenorhynchus albirostris (white-beaked dolphin)
Lineage: Eukaryota; Metazoa; Chordata; Mammalia; Artiodactyla; Delphinidae
Exons: 3
Source: RefSeq, a predicted model, not a curated record